This is a long non-coding RNA of Meriones unguiculatus (Mongolian gerbil), 1207 nucleotides long. RefSeq lists it as uncharacterized. NCBI's taxonomy places the organism in Eukaryota, Metazoa, Chordata, Mammalia, Rodentia, Muridae. The record is from RefSeq and is a predicted model, not a curated record. The transcript has 2 exons.
UGACCGCACGGGGAUUCCCAGUGCCGGCGCCAGGGGCACGCGGGACACGCCCCCUCCCGCCGCGCCAUUGGCCUCUCCGCCCACCACCCGGCACUUAUUGGCCAGCUCGCCGCCAAUCAGCGGAGGCUGCUGGAGCCGCCUAAAGAAGAGGCUGUGCUCCGAGGCUCCGGCUCCUCAGAGAGCCUCGGCUAGAUUGUUCCUAGGGGACAGGACAGUGCUUGUUUAAGGCUGUAUUCCUGCUGUCUGAGCAGGACCGUCUUCGAGAUCAACAUACUUUUCAUAAUACCAAGGCUGUUGCCUUUUACAUUCUCAGAAGCAAGCAGAGGCACAUGAUGUUGUGUUAAAUACUGUCACUAUGUUAAAUAUUGCUGUGCAGUUCCGGUUUUCCUAAGGUAGUUUAGGUACUAUGUAUAUGUUUUGAAUUAACUGUUACACCUUCCAUAAUCCAUGCAGUGUGUCAUGAAAUUGUUAAGUCUUGUAGCUUCGUACAUAAGGAUAAAGGUGUUUUAUUGUCAUGUUUUGAACAUUUCCCCAAAGUUCCGAAUUAUAAAAUUGCAACUUUAGAAUUCAUUUAAGGAAGAUGGUUGUGGUUUAAGAUGAUGCUUAAUUACCAUUUAUGUUUUGUGUUAGAAGAUAUUAUAUAAAACUGACGUGUGGAAGUGCUGGUCAAGAAAUUUUAAGAAAUGUGUACUGUCUUUAGAAAGCAUUUAACUAGCAUGUCUUUUGCAACAUACUAACUUUGAAUAGUGUUGGCACCAGCUAUGUUGUAGAGUCAUUUUAAAGAGGCCUUCUAAUGAGUGUUGGAUUGUUUUGAAUGCUGUUGAAUGUUUUAAAUGCAGACUUGUUUGUAUUCCAUAAGACAACUGUCAGAAGCUUCAAACUAGAAACAUAAGCUGAAAUAUUUCAGAAGGUAAACAAGCUACUUGUAUUGGCUGUAAUGUAUAAUGGUUAUGGUUUUAAAGUUAGCAUUGCUGAGUAGUAUCUACCUGCCAGGUGAAAAGAAAUGUUCCUAGUGGUUCUUUUGAAUAGUAUAGCAACUUGUUAUGUAAAAAUCUUUCCACAGAUAUGAACUCUAAUUCAUACAUGUAGGUGUAUAUGUAAUACCUUACCGAUGGAUGAAGCUACAAACAUGACUGGACUUUAUAUUGUGAUUGUAUUUAUUUAUGUGAAAACUUGGCAAUAAACCUAUGUCCUAAAAUAGUCAAAA